This 489-nucleotide ribosomal RNA is filed under the name uncultured bacterium. RNAcentral's name for it is "partial 16S ribosomal RNA". It matches the Rfam family "Bacterial small subunit ribosomal RNA", at positions 28 to 507 of the family's 1533-position model. The record is from RNAcentral.
GAUGAACGCUAGCGGCAGGCUUAAUACAUGCAAGUCGAGGGGCAGCAGGACUGUAGCAAUACAGUUGCUGGCGACCGGCAAACGGGUGCGGAACACGUACGCAACCUACCCAAAACUGGGGGAUAGCCCGGGGAAACCCGGAUUAAUACCUCGUAACCUUUUUAAGUGGCAUCACUUGAUAAGUAUAGCUCCGGCGGUUUUGGAUGGGCGUGCGCCUGAUUAGGUAGUUGGUGCGGGUAACGGCCCACCAAGCCUGCGAUCAGUAACUGGUGUGAGAGCACGACCAGUCACACGGGCACUGAGACACGGGCCCGACUCCUACGGGAGGCAGCAGUAAGGAAUAUUGGUCAAUGGACGCAAGUCUGAACCAGCCAUUCCGCGUGAAGGAUGAAGGUCCUCUGGAUUGUAAACUUCUUUUAUGGGGGACGAAACCCGGAUAUUCUUAUCCGAUUGACGGUACCUCAGGAAUAAGCACCGGCUAACUCCGUG